GAUGAAGAACGCAGCGAAAUGCGAUAAGUAAUGUGAAUUGCAGAAUCCAGUGAAUCAUCGAAUCUUUGAACGCACAUUGCGCCCGCCAGCAUUCUGGCGGGCAUGCCUGUUCGAGCGUCAUUUCAACCCUCGACCUCCCUUUGGGGAAGUCGGCGUUGGGGACCGGCAGCACACCGCCGGCCCUGAAAUGGAGUGGCGGCCCGUCCGCGGCGACCUCUGCGUAGUAAACCAACUCGCACCGGAACCCCGACGUGGCCACGCCGUAAAACACCCAACUUCUGAACGUUGACCUCGUAUCAGGUAGGACUACCCGCUGAACUUAAGCAUAUCAAUAAGCGGAGGA
Molecule: unclassified non-coding RNA, 343 nt
Filed under: soil metagenome
Description: partial contains 5.8S ribosomal RNA, internal transcribed spacer 2, and large subunit ribosomal RNA
Rfam family: 5.8S ribosomal RNA (bases 1-120)
Source: RNAcentral